This 5386-nucleotide unclassified non-coding RNA is filed under the name Hevea brasiliensis (rubber tree). Lineage: Eukaryota; Viridiplantae; Streptophyta; Magnoliopsida; Malpighiales; Euphorbiaceae. The record is from RNAcentral.
AAUAAAUGAAAUUACAACCCAAAAUUAUUACAACCUUAAUAAUACAUGCCCAAAAAAAAAUAAAAUAAAUAAAUUAAUAAAUAAAUAAAAAAGUAAAUUUAGAAAAGGGUGAAAAAAGAGAAGGUUGACAGGGACGGCAUUGGCCAAUGGUUACCCGGUUGGUUAAACAUUGUAAAAUUUCUACACCGAAUAACUCAAAACCUAUUAUGUAAUACAGUGGGGAAUAGAACCUACAAUGUAAUACCAUAAAUAACAGCCCCUACUCUAACCCACCUAUUGAGGUGAUGAUGAAUAAACUUGAAAGCAUGAAAUGCUAUACAAAAAUACAAGUCCUUUACAUAAAAUAGCUGAGAGAUUUCUUCUUUCUCGAUCCACCUUCUCCAUAUAGAUCAUUCCAUUGGAGGAGCUCAUUCAUAUUUGUAGACUCAGAUGAUACACUUGCACACACCUGUGAUGUGGUAUCAGGAUUAUACAGGAAAAACUGAAUACAUAAAUUAACAUAUGAGUUUUAAUUGAAAAAUCCAGUUACCCUCAAACUUUUAUUUUUACCUAUUUGACCCUUACAUUUUUAUAACAGUAAAUACUUGGUUGAACAAAUUCUCAUUGCAUCGUCACAUGGGUGUUGACAAAAAUAAUCGCUUCCAAUUUUUGUUUUUUACUUUUUCACUCAUUCUCCACCAUGUCGCCUUUUCCUCUCAAAUGGAAAUCCUUACCCAGAAUAUGUAUCACUACAGCAAUUUCACUUGUCCUCGUGCACAUACAUUCAUGCGACCCGUUGGCUAAAUAAAUUUAUGUUUAAUGGAUACAAAAAAAAAGUCAAGGUGUUUAAUAGGUCGAAAUAAAAGUUUGGAGAGCCACCCAUUUCCGUGAAAUACAAUGGGCAAGUUAUGUAUUCAGCCAUAUAGAAAAUGUCCAAAGUUUCUCCACCACGUCAGGAAGCAACCAAUAAAUUUGCGAGAGAAUUAUAAACCAUAGCUUGCUUACUCAAAAGAACAAACCACACACACAUAUAUAUAAGCGAAAAGAAGGGUCAUACCUGUUCAUGUGCAUAUUUAAAAUCCUCCAUUUUAAGAGGACGGAUAUCAGAACUGCUAUGCAUUGUAGAUACGGUUCUGUUCUCUGCCAAAGCCAAAGUUCUCUCCUUCUUUUCUUUCUCCAAUAUUUCCCGAAUGGGACAGUGAGCAGCAGUAACACACAGAUUCUUUAGAUCACUUCCAGAGUAACCAUCUGUCAUGUUUGCAACUGCUUCCAAAUCAACAUCAGGGGCCAAUUCCUCUUUGGCUAGGAUAACCCUCAAAAUUUUCUCUCUGUUAGGUGCAUCUGGCAAGUUGACCAUUAAUCUCCGGGGAAGCCUCCUAAUAACAGCCUCAUCAAGGUCAAAAGGCCUGUUUGUAGCAGCAAGCACUAAUACCCGUUCUUUAUCCUUUGUACGUAGACCAUCCCAGUUCACCAUAAACUCAUUCUUCAUUUUACGCAUAGCCUCGUGUUCUCCAGGAUUUUCACGUCUACCAAGCAUGCUAUCCACCUAAAUCAAUAAAACAAGCAGUUUCGAUUAGUUUUUCUUUUUAAUUGAAAUAGCAAAAAACACAAUCAAGAAAAAAAAAGAGCCGGCAUGUGUUCUUUCAAGUGUGUAAGGUGGACACAGACAAAAGUAAAACAUGGAAUAACAUAUGGAAACAAGAAGUAAAACAACUGAACAAACCUCGUCAACAAAAACAAUACUAGGAGCAAUUUUACUAGCCAAGGAGAAGACUGCCUUGACAUACUUCUCUCCUUCACCAAACCACUGCAGUCAAGUCAUAUAAUUUCAACUUGCUCAUAUGAUGGAUGACGCAAUAUUUAUCACAUGCAAAUACCUUUGAUGUAAUGCUUGACAUAGAAAUGUUUAUAAAGUUUGCACCAGCCUCAGUUGCAACGGCCUUAGCAAGCAUUGUUUUGCCAGUACCAGGAGGCCCAAAAAGUAAUAUUCCUUUACAAGGCUUAGUCAGCUGUCCCUUGCAAAAUAAUUCAGGCCUCUGAAGAGGAAGCAUCACCAGUUCCUUCAAGGUAUCCUUCACAUUUUCUAAUGCUCCAAUGUCAUCAAAGGUCACUCCAAUGUCGCUAGGAGGAAUAACAUCUGCCAAAAGUUUCUUCUCAAAUUCAUUCUCAGUGACUACAUCCUUCAGUGAUUUCUUCAAGCUCUUGUUCUCACUUUGAAUACCCUGCAGAAUGCUCAACCCAUACUUGAUGCUCUCAGUGGAUAUCACGAGUUUACCUUCUUUGACAGAAGCUUCAGAACAAUGCAUGAAGUGGUGACUUAAAGCCCAACCAACUAUUUUCUCUACACUUUCAGUUGCAAGGGCUUGAUCUUUAAUACACAGAGUCUCAAGGUCAGGGCAACACAGACGAACUCGGCUGAGAACCGAACGAAUGCCAAAAAUGUUGGCCUGUGCUUUCAGAGUUUCAAUAUCAUGCUCCAACUGCUGCUUCCAGUCCAAAAGCAAAGCUUCAUCCUGAGGCAGCUGUAUUGUCACUUUGUUAGGGAAAAGCCGUCCCAGCUGCUUCAUAGUUUUAGGAGUUUCCUUGCUCCUAUCAUGCAGUCGACCGAAGUUAUCCGGGAAUGCAAGAUCAAGUAAAGCAGUGUGGUUGCUUCCAAACUUUGUAAAUAAAAGACCACCAGGUUGAGACUUCUCUUUACGAAUGUCCAUCUGAACAUGUGAACCAAUUAUGAUCACUCUUUCGGGCAAAUUUUCAAGCUUACUCCUUAAAGCAGUGUAUGCAUCUUGAUUCCCCACCAUAGACUUUUCUAUGUCUUUCACAAACAAUAUUAAAGGACCACGUUUACUCUCAUCUAAGGCAACCUCAAAGAGUUCAUUAACAGCAAGCCUAUCAACAUCUUCACCUCCAGGACCAUCCAAGCGAAGUGAAUUAGCAGCACAAAAGAAACCGUGGUCUUCUUCACAGAGACCACCAAGGUCAUUGCCUUCUGGAAUAGAUCUAUCAAAUCUAACCCCGAUCUUUGAGGAUCCAUUUUCUUCAAAAGCAAGGACUACCUUGCCUCGAAAACCAACUGCCGGUCCCCUUGGAGGAUUGUGCAGAGAAGGUAACCCCACAAACUUUACUCUAUCACCUGUUUUAAAAGUAUAGCUUUUGGAUGAUGCAGUAGAAGGUUCUGGCUUCGGCAAACCCUGAGAGCUUAUUGUGGAGCCACCAGUAAUAUCAGCCUCAACACUAGAAGUUGGUUUCUUGUGAUGAAACGCAGCCUGGACAGCUCUUUUGGCAAAAACAGAUGCUCUUUCAGGCCUUGUACUUUCUUUCACAUAGUCAGCUUCUUUAGGCGUUGAUCCCCCAGGUAACAGAAAUGAAUCAAUGACCAGCAGUCUAGCACCAACAUCUUUGGCAAGAGCCUUUACUAGUGUCUCUUGAUAUAUUUCUGAUCCUGCAGGACCAGAUAAUAAUAUGCGUGGGGACACAGUAGGAAGAUCACAGAAAAACUUUGGAACUUUUUUUUCACACUUUAAAUGAAUGAAUGCAGCACCUAUCAAAACUUUCUUUGUUGUUUCACUGGUAAGAAAGCUCAAUGCAAGAGAAGGAUGAACUAGAAUUAGCAUCCAAGAUACUUAUGCUCAGAAGUGACAAGAAUGUAAGAUAUUGACUAUAUACCACACAACAAGACCAAAGAUAACUAACAGACAGAGAAAGUAAUUAUUAACCUCUAUAACAAAAAUAUACAAAUUAUAGCAGAGAAGCAUCACAUGCAAUGAAGAAAAUAUAAAGUGCACUGCUGAAAAAAGUCAAAUGCAUCUAAAAUUAACUGAAAGUAAAGAAUUCACCUUAGAUAAUAUGGAAAACUAUCAAAUGAAACAUCAAUUCCUUCAGGAUUUAAAAUUCCCUGUUGUAAACUAUCUUUAUAUGCUUGCCUUCUGGUUGACAUCAGAACUGUUGGAGAAUCUAGAACAUUGAAGGGCUCUCUUAUUUCCCUUUGCUCAUCAAGUAUUUUGGAAAUGCUACUUAAAUCAAAUUCAGGAGAACCUGCAAGUAUCCGAAAGAGAGGCCUUAAUUCAUAGGCUGACCCAGCAAUCUUUCUGUUUCCUGCAUCAACAGUAGCAUCCAGCCCAAGACCAUCAAGAUUUGGGUUUUGACUGGCCGUAUUAGAGGAUGGAACAAUAGUUUUCUCCCUCGAAGAAAAACCAGCCAGCUCAUUAUUACUUGCGCUAUUCUUCAUGACAACUUCUGGAAUGCAGUUGUUAGGUGCUCCACAAACAGAAGGUACAGUGGAAAUCUCAGCCUUUUGCUGCAAAUCCUCACCAGCUUUGGCAGGAGGCGAUAGAAGAGAUAAAUCUUUUUGAAAAUCAGAUAAAGAGGCCAGUAUUGAUGCUCCCGCAAAAGCUGAGGGAUCACCAGAUCUCGCCUCAAUCUGAAUUCCUUUUAGGGGGGCACCUUGAGCUUCUAAGAUAUUUUCUGAAGGCAUGUCUGGAGCACUUAAGCUAUCAUUAGUGAGCUGCUGAAAAAUAUAAGCAUGUUUGCCAGAAGAACUGAAUACUACUUCAUCUCCUCCAUUAAUCACUAUCAUGCCAGGUUUUUGUAGAAGCUUACCAUUAACUUGAACUGCUCCUUUACCCCCAGUGACUUCCAACAAGGCAACCGAUAUACCUCCAUUCUCUAACUGUUUUAGCUUACAUAAAAUGCCACUGAUGGAUGGAUCAUUGAGCACUAAAUCGCAACUACGAUUUCGACCAACAGUGAAAAGAGUGCCACGCAUUUCCUUGUGAGGGUACUGGGAGCACUGGGAAAGUAGCUUGCCCCAGGCAGGCUUCUCAGACAGUUUCUUUUUUGCUGGUUUUGUUGGCGCGGACUUUGAUGGCCGCUUCCUCGCCCGAUUCAGAACCUUGUCAACAGUCUUGGACAUCUCAACAUUCAGGGUAGUUUCACCUAGAGGCUGCGUCGAAAUCAAGCCCUCGCCUUCCAUAUCAGGAGAUGUCUCAUCAGCAGGAGUGGACUCUAAAGCGACAGUUACCUGCGGAUCAGAGGAUUGCAGCUCGUUGUCUCGAGGUGCAGACACGGAUUCCUUGGCCGGAAUUUGGGUUUCAACCGGCAGCGCAACCGUUUCACCAUUUAUUGGGGAUGAAGCCUCUGCCAUAGCCACCUUGGAUCUUUUGGAGGAGGGGGAAGUUGAGGCGGGGAGGGUGCGGUCGGAGUAAGAGGAGCUGCGCUUGGAGUAAGAGGAGCUGCGCCUGGUCUCAACCAUGGUGUUUGGUUCUCUCCGAUCCAACAACAACAACAACACCAAGAGAAGAGCAGCGGGGGCUGUUUGGUUCGUUGAGAGAGAGGAAGGGAGCAAAUGAUUGCGGGAGAAGAGUUUGUUUACUUUAUAAAUAUAUUAAUAUAUUAAUUAUCUUCAUAACAU